GACUCGUGUUCGUCCUCGUCGGCAUUGCUAUCGCCACCCUGUUUUUUACCGUCAUUCCGACGUCGUAUCCCGCCUCGUACGGUGGGGCCCGCGGCCACGUAGCGAUCUCGGAUUCGCUGUCGUAUUACCCCGUCGAGACGUACCAAAGAGCCUACAACCCUCGCGUCGGGUUCGGGGCGGUGAAUUCGGGCGGGAAGAUUCCCCUGGGGCUGAAACGGAAGGGGCUUAGAAUAGUCGUCACGGGUGGGGCGGGGUUCGUCGGGUCUCACCUCGUGGACCGUCUGAUCGCGAGGGGCGACAGCGUGAUCGUUGUAGAUAAUUUCUUCACGGGAAGGAAAGAAAACGUGAUGCACCACUUUGGUAACCCGAAUUUUGAGCUCAUCAGACACGACGUCGUCGAGCCUCUCUUGCUUGAAGUCGACCAGAUCUACCAUCUCGCUUGUCCCGCAUCUCCAGUUCAUUACAAAUUCAACCCCGUCA
RNAcentral lists this long non-coding RNA (480 nucleotides) under Citrus x clementina. RNAcentral describes it as "Citrus clementina (C. clementina) long non-coding RNA (CCLE_LNC004665)". The record is from RNAcentral. Lineage: Eukaryota; Viridiplantae; Streptophyta; Magnoliopsida; Sapindales; Rutaceae.